This 64-nucleotide transfer RNA is filed under the name Hyphasis sp. REN-2018. RNAcentral describes it as "tRNA-His". The record is from RNAcentral. Lineage: Eukaryota; Metazoa; Arthropoda; Insecta; Coleoptera; Chrysomelidae.
AUUUAAAUAGUUUAAGAAAAACAAUGAUUUGUGGUAUCAGAGUUAUAAAAAUUUAUUUUAAAUU